GACGAACGCUGGCGGCGUGCUUAACACAUGCAAGUCGAACGGAAAGGCCCCUUUGGGGGUACUCGAGUGGCGAACGGGUGAGUAACACGUGAGUAACCUGCCCUUGACUUCGGGAUAACUUCAGGAAACUGGGGCUAAUACCGGAUAGGAAUCCUUGCUGCAUGGUGGGGGUUGGAAAGCUUCGGCGGUUUUGGAUGGACUCGCGGCUUAUCAGCUUGUUGGUGGGGUAGUGGCUUACCAAGGCUUUGACGGGUAGCCGGCCUGAGAGGGCGACCGGCCACAUUGGGGCUGGGAUACGGCCCAGGCUCCUACGGGGGGCAGCAGUGGGGAAUAUUGCACAAUGGGCGGGAGCCUGAUGCAGCAACGCCGCGGGCGGGAUGACGGCCUUCGGGUUGUAAACCGCUUUCAGCAGGGGCGAAGCUUGUGGUGACGGUACCUGCAGAAGAAGCACCGGCUAACUACGUG
Molecule: ribosomal RNA, 465 nt
Filed under: uncultured bacterium
Lineage: Bacteria
Description: partial 16S ribosomal RNA
Rfam family: Bacterial small subunit ribosomal RNA
Source: RNAcentral